UACGGAGGGGGCUAGCGUUGUUCGGAAUUACUGGGCGUAAAGCGCGCGUAGGCGGACCUGCAAGUCGGGGGUGAAAGCCCGAGGCUCAACCUCGGAACUGCCUUCGAUACUGCGGGUCUCGAGUCCGGGAGAGGUGAGUGGAAUUCCUAGUGUAGAGGUGAAAUUCGUAGAUAUUAGGAAGAACACCAGUUGCGAAGGCGGCUCACUGGCCCGGUACUGACGCUGAGGCGCGACAGCGUGUGGAGCAAACAGG
RNAcentral lists this ribosomal RNA (253 nucleotides) under uncultured bacterium. RNAcentral describes it as "partial 16S ribosomal RNA". It matches the Rfam family "Bacterial small subunit ribosomal RNA", at positions 524 to 776 of the family's 1533-position model. The record is from RNAcentral.